This 393-nucleotide unclassified non-coding RNA is filed under the name Hevea brasiliensis (rubber tree). Lineage: Eukaryota; Viridiplantae; Streptophyta; Magnoliopsida; Malpighiales; Euphorbiaceae. The record is from RNAcentral.
AGUCAACGCCAGAAAACAGACUAGCUCUGAAGUUUCCAUGAAGGUAGCUGCAGCUGAUUCGUGCAAUAGCAACACACCUAAAAGGGUGGAUUUGAAGUCAAAGAAACUUGUGAGAUAUCCAGUCAUGAACAUGUGGCUUGGGCCCAGACAAGUUAUGCUAGGUUCACUAAAGGUACAAAAGAAAAAGAAAUGCAAUAGAACUAGAAGACGGUCUGUAGUUUGUGAGGACAUGGCCAAUGCCACUUGUUCAGGUAACAACACAAGCGAGCAGCAGGCAUCAACAUCAACAACAACGUCGUCUGAAACUGUGCAAUGUACUCCCAGAGGGCGGAAACGUGCCUAUGAUAGUGACAGUCCUAAAAAUAAUAACCAGAAGCAAAACAAGCAAGACGU